Molecule: long non-coding RNA, 987 nt
Organism: Andrographis paniculata
Lineage: Eukaryota; Viridiplantae; Streptophyta; Magnoliopsida; Lamiales; Acanthaceae
Exons: 4
Source: RefSeq, a predicted model, not a curated record
UUUUCAUCGGUUGGUUGGAGUAUGUGAGAUGAUAAGAAUUUGCUUCCCUUUCUCUGGAUCGACCACCCACACUGCCAGGCUCAACUCCUCAGAUUCUUUUGAGAACUUCAAACAGUAUAUUCUCACAGUCGAUAAGAAAAAAUUAUAUAUUUCAGCAUACUGGGUCUGUUUCACAUUAUAUCAAUGUGCAACUCCAUUUGGUGGUAUUGUAGAAGGUCCCAUGAUAGUUGCAGCUCCAUUACAGAAUUAAAAUGCCCAAGUUUUCCAACACCAAUCACGGACUUUGAGAGCCUCUUUUCCAACACUGCUGCAAAAAGCUUGUCUACAGGCGACAUAUCUGACUCUGGCAGCAGUUCCCAUCCUGCAGUAGCCUCAGCUUCCAAACUCAAAGGUGUGGUGUGCCAAAUCAAUGGGCACUGGGGUGCACAGAUAUAUGAAGACCAUCAGCGCAUCCGGCUAGGAACCUUUAAAUCCGAAACUGAAGCCGCUAUGGCAUAUGAUAGCGCCGCCAACCGACUCCGCAGCCCUGGAACUUCCUGUGGACGGACACCACUCUCAAGGAGCCAAACUUUCAGAGCCAGUUCAGCACCCAAGCUCUCCUUGGCAUGAUCAGAGCCGGUACUGCUAUUGGAAAAGCAGCCAGAGGUUUGUCUUCACUCGAGGCAGGGACGGAUUUGUAAGGAAAAGGGGUUGAUACCACGGGAUUAUGUCAUCUUUCCAUCCUACAAGUGUGGUGAUAAAAAGUAUGCAUGAUCGGCGUAGCCUACAAGAACGGGGGCUGUGCAGCUAUGCGUCUGCGUAGCAAUGGAAAUUUAAAAAGCCCAAAAAUGGACAGUGCUUGGGUGGGACAUGAAGGCACCUAUGGAAAGAUGGGAUUCAACGGGGCAGCAAAGGAAGGAUUAGUACAGCCUUAUGUCGUCUUGAUGGAAGUCAAUUCGGUGGUAUGGUAGAAGGUCCGAAUUCUAUAGCUGCAGCUCCAGUACAAGU